UACGUAGGUGGCAAGCGUUGUCCGGAUUUACUGGGCGUAAAGAGCGCGCAGGCGGUCGUGCAAGUCGCGUGUGAAAGCCCCCGGCUCAACUGGGGAGGGUCACGCGAUACUGCUCGACUCGAAGGCAGGAGAGGGAAGUGGAAUUCCCGGUGUAGCGGUGAAAUGCGUAGAUAUCGAGAGGAACACCUGCGGCGAAGGCGGGUUGCUGGGCUGACACUGACGCUGAGGCGCGAAAGCUAGGGGAGCGAACGGG
Molecule: ribosomal RNA, 253 nt
Filed under: uncultured bacterium
Lineage: Bacteria
Description: partial 16S ribosomal RNA
Rfam family: Bacterial small subunit ribosomal RNA
Source: RNAcentral